AGGUGAGAAUACUGGAGUCAGUUUCUCUUUCCUUUUCCAGGGACUCUUCCUGACUCAGGGAUCAAACCCAGGUUUCCUGCAUUGCAGGCAGACCCUCUCCUGACUGAGCCACCGGGGAAGCCCUAUGACAAGAUAGGGCAGGUGGCAUGUGAGA
This 154-nucleotide long non-coding RNA is filed under the name Bos indicus x Bos taurus (hybrid cattle). RNAcentral's name for it is "lncRNA (ENSBIXG00005024514.1)". The record is from RNAcentral. Lineage: Eukaryota; Metazoa; Chordata; Mammalia; Artiodactyla; Bovidae.